CUACGGGCGGCAGCAGUGGGGAAUAUUGCACAAUGGGCGCAAGCCUGAUGCAGCCAUGCCGCGUGUGUGAAGAAGGCCUUCGGGUUGUAAAGCACUUUCAGCGGGAGGAAGGCGGUGAGGUUAAUAACCUUGGCGAUUGACGUUACCCGCAGAAGAAGCACCGGCUAACUCCGUGCCAGCAGCCGCGGUAAUACGGAGGGUGCAAGCGUUAAUCGGAAUUACUGGGCGUAAAGCGCACGCAGGCGGUCUGUCAAGUCGGAUGUGAAAUCCCCGGGCUCAACCUGGGAACUGCAUUCGAAACUGGCAGGCUAGAGUCUUGUAGAGGGGGGUAGAAUUCCAGGUGUAGCGGUGAAAUGCGUAGAGAUCUGGAGGAAUACCGGUGGCGAAGGCGGCCCCCUGGACAAAGACUGACGCUCAGGUGCGAAAGCGUGGGGAGCAAACAGGAUUAGAUACCCCUGUAGUC
Molecule: ribosomal RNA, 463 nt
Filed under: uncultured Klebsiella sp.
Lineage: Bacteria; Pseudomonadati; Pseudomonadota; Gammaproteobacteria; Enterobacterales; Enterobacteriaceae
Description: bacterial SSU rRNA
Rfam family: Bacterial small subunit ribosomal RNA
Source: RNAcentral